This 512-nucleotide ribosomal RNA is filed under the name uncultured Methanosarcina sp. RNAcentral describes it as "bacterial SSU rRNA". It matches the Rfam family "Archaeal small subunit ribosomal RNA", at positions 347 to 859 of the family's 1478-position model. The record is from RNAcentral. Lineage: Archaea; Methanobacteriati; Methanobacteriota; Methanomicrobia; Methanosarcinales; Methanosarcinaceae.
ACUUUACAAUGCGGGAAACCGUGAUAAGGGGACACCGAGUGCCAGCAUCAUAUGCUGGCUGUCCGGGUGUGUAAAAUACACUCGUUAGCAAGGGCCGGGCAAGACCGGUGCCAGCCGCCGCGGUAACACCGGCGGCCCGAGUGGUGAUCGUGAUUAUUGGGUCUAAAGGGUCCGUAGCCGGUUUGGUCAGUCCUCCGGGAAAUCUGAUAGCUUAACUAUUAGGCUUUCGGGGGAUACUGCCAGACUUGGAACCGGGAGAGGUAAGAGGUACUACAGGGGUAGGAGUGAAAUCUUGUAAUCCCUGUGGGACCACCUGUGGCGAAGGCGUCUUACCAGAACGGGUUCGACGGUGAGGGACGAAAGCUGGGGGCACGAACCGGAUUAGAUACCCGGGUAGUCCCAGCCGUAAACGAUGCUCGCUAGGUGUCAGGCAUGGCGCGACCGUGUCUGGUGCCGCAGGGAAGCCGUGAAGCGAGCCACCUGGGAAGUACGGCCGCAAGGCUGAAACUUAA